RNAcentral lists this ribosomal RNA (2257 nucleotides) under Campylobacter coli. RNAcentral's name for it is "partial 23S ribosomal RNA". It matches the Rfam family "Bacterial large subunit ribosomal RNA", at positions 1 to 2110 of the family's 2925-position model. Lineage: Bacteria; Pseudomonadati; Campylobacterota; Epsilonproteobacteria; Campylobacterales; Campylobacteraceae. The record is from RNAcentral.
AAAAAAGGUAAGCUACUAAGAGCGAAUGGUGGAUGCCUUGACUGGUAAAGGCGAUGAAGGACGUACUAGACUGCGAUAAGCUACGGGGAGCUGUCAAGAAGCUUUGAUCCGUAGAUUUCCGAAUGGGGCAACCCAAUGUAUAGAGAUAUACAUUACCUAUAUAGGAGCGAACGAGGGGAAUUGAAACAUCUUAGUACCCUCAGGAAAAGAAAUCAAUAGAGAUUGCGUCAGUAGCGGCGAGCGAAAGCGCAAGAGGGCAAACCCAGUGCUUGCACUGGGGGUUGUAGGACUGCAAUGUGCAAGAGGUGAGUUUAGCAGAACAUUCUGGAAAGUAUAGCCAUAGAGGGUGAUAGUCCCGUAUGCGAAAAACAAACCUUAGCUAGCAGUAUCCUGAGUAGGGCGGGACACGAGAAAUCCUGUCUGAAGCUGGGUCGACCACGAUCCAACCCUAAAUACUAAUACCAGAUCGAUAGUGCACAAGUACCGUGAGGGAAAGGUGAAAAGAACUGAGGUGAUCAGAGUGAAAUAGAACCUGAAACCAUUUGCUUACAAUCAUUCAGAGCCCUAUGUAGCAAUACAGGGUGAUGGACUGCCUUUUGCAUAAUGAGCCUGCGAGUUGUGGUGUCUGGCAAGGUUAAGCAAACGCGAAGCCGUAGCGAAAGCGAGUCUGAAUAGGGCGCUUAGUCAGAUGCUGCAGACCCGAAACGAAGUGAUCUAUCCAUGAGCAAGUUGAAGCUAGUGUAAGAACUAGUGGAGGACUGAACCCAUAGGCGUUGAAAAGCCCCGGGAUGACUUGUGGAUAGGGGUGAAAGGCCAAUCAAACUUCGUGAUAGCUGGUUCUCUCCGAAAUAUAUUUAGGUAUAGCGUUGUGUCGUAAUAUAAGGGGGUAGAGCACUGAAUGGGCUAGGGCAUACACCAAUGUACCAAACCCUAUCAAACUCCGAAUACCUUAUAUGUAAUCACAGCAGUCAGGCGGCGAGUGAUAAAAUCCGUCGUCAAGAGGGAAACAACCCAGACUACCAGCUAAGGUCCCUAAAUCUUACUUAAGUGGAAAACGAUGUGAAGUUACUUAAACAACCAGGAGGUUGGCUUAGAAGCAGCCAUCCUUUAAAGAAAGCGUAAUAGCUCACUGGUCUAGUGAUUUUGCGCGGAAAAUAUAACGGGGCUAAAGUAAGUACCGAAGCUGUAGACUUGCGCACAACUUAGAUUAUUUAAGUUUAGAAUAUGAGAAACUAAGUUAUGUUUAGUUAUAUUUUUACUGAUUUUUAUAGAGUAAAGAUAGAAAUAAAACUUAGUAAAAUCAGUAAAAAUAUUCUUAGGCUAAAGUUAAGUAGUUUAAGUUGUGUGCAAGUGGUAGGAGAGCGUUCUAUUUGCGUCGAAGGUAUACCGGUAAGGAGUGCUGGAGCGAAUAGAAGUGAGCAUGCAGGCAUGAGUAGCGAUAAUUAAUGUGAGAAUCAUUAACGCCGUAAACCCAAGGUUUCCUACGCGAUGCUCGUCAUCGUAGGGUUAGUCGGGUCCUAAGUCGAGUCCGAAAGGGGUAGACGAUGGCAAAUUGGUUAAUAUUCCAAUACCAACAUUAGUGUGCGAUGGAAGGACGCUUAGGGCUAAGGGGGCUAGCGGAUGGAAGUGCUAGUCUAAGGUCGUAGGAGGUUAUACAGGCAAAUCCGUAUAACAAUACUCCGAGAACUGAAAGGCUUUUUGAAGUCUUCGGAUGGAUAGAAGAACCCCUGAUGCCGUCGAGCCAAGAAAAGUUUCUAAGUUUAGCUAAUGUUGCCCGUACCGUAAACCGACACAGGUGGGUGGGAUGAGUAUUCUAAGGCGCGUGGAAGAACUCUCUUUAAGGAACUCUGCAAAAUAGCACCGUAUCUUCGGUAUAAGGUGUGGUUCGCUUCGUAUUAGGAUUUACUCCGAAAGCGAAGAAACUUACAACAAAGAGUCCCUCCCGACUGUUUACCAAAAACACAGCACUCUGCUAACUCGUAAGAGGAUGUAUAGGGUGUGACGCCUGCCCGGUGCUCGAAGGUUAAUUGAUGGGGUUAGCAUUAGCGAAGCUCUUGAUCGAAGCCCGAGUAAACGGCGGCCGUAACUAUAACGGUCCUAAGGUAGCGAAAUUCCUUGUCGGUUAAAUACCGACCUGCAUGAAUGGCGUAACGAGAUGGGAGCUGUCUCAAAGAGGGAUCCAGUGAAAUUGUAGUGGAGGUGAAAAUUCCUCCUACCCGCGGCAAGACGGAGAGACCCCGUGGACCUUUACUAUAGC